UGCUCACCCCGCAAAAAAGAGAGCCUCUCGUGUUUCAUGGAAUCCAGGGUUCAGAGGUCUACUGGGCUUUUUUUGUCGGCUCUCCCUUGUACAUCAUCGCACAGGCAAAGGUGGGCGGCCCGUGAUCGGAGUCACGCGGAGGCUGCUAAAGGGCAGAGCGGCUACUCCUACCAGGCUGACCAUUUGGUGUUCUACCAAAAAGGCCGAUAGCAGCAGAAGACUGACAAGCUUGGUUUGUUCGUAGGGCGGCGGCAGAUAGCAGAUCUAAGGGAUUGAUGGGUACGGCCGUACGGGAUCCCCGCAACAGGGCCCAGCGCACCCGACGGAUCGAUGAAACUUCAUCCGAAUCGGAAGAAGAAGAGGGGAUUGGUUACCCUGCAGGAAGUGGCGUUGCGGAGUCAGAGUCAGACGAAGAUCAGAUCCAGCCCAAUGGAAAGGCGCCCGCCAUUAGCUCGAGGUGCAGCGUUAAGAAGCUUAACGAUUUGAUAGCCUCGCUUGACGAGGAGAAAGGACAGUACGUCGUCGAGAUGGAAUUUGGGGGUUGCUAGAGCGGAUGCAGAUCAGGUGACAUGCAAACGGCAUGUCACCGUGUGCCUCGCGGCCUCCCAUCCACCGCCCAGCCAGGAUCCAACGGACAGCAGCACUCCAAGGCAAAAACAUUCAGACUUCAUAGUUUUCAGCCCAGACCCUCUGAAACUUCACAGUUUUGAACUUUAUAUGAUACAUAUACAAAUCUUUUAGUCAUUCAACAGUACAAACAAGUGUUUUGAACAAAAUACAAUACAAACAUCAACCUUUUAGUU
This is a long non-coding RNA of Aegilops tauschii subsp. strangulata, 803 nucleotides long. RefSeq lists it as uncharacterized. The record is from RefSeq and is a predicted model, not a curated record. NCBI's taxonomy places the organism in Eukaryota, Viridiplantae, Streptophyta, Magnoliopsida, Poales, Poaceae.